This 495-nucleotide ribosomal RNA is filed under the name uncultured bacterium. Its description in RNAcentral is "partial 16S ribosomal RNA". It matches the Rfam family "Bacterial small subunit ribosomal RNA", at positions 28 to 505 of the family's 1533-position model. The record is from RNAcentral.
GAUGAACGCUGGCGGCGUGCCUAAUACAUGCAAGUCGAGCGAACAGAUGAGGAGCUUGCUCCUCUGACGUUAGCGGCGGACGGGUGAGUAACACGUGGAUAACCUACCUAUAAGACUGGGAUAACUUCGGGAAACCGGAGCUAAUACCGGAUAAUAUAUUGAACCGCAUGGUUCAAUAGUGAAAGACGGUUUUGCUGUCACUUAUAGAUGGAUCCGCGCCGCAUUAGCUAGUUGGUAAGGUAACGGCUUACCAAGGCAACGAUGCGUAGCCGACCUGAGAGGGUGAUCGGCCACACUGGAAGUGAGACACGGUCCAGACUCCUACGGGAGGCAGCAGUAGGGAAUCUUCCGCAAUGGGCGAAAGCCUGACGGAGCAACGCCGCGUGAGUGAUGAAGGUCUUCGGAUCGUAAAACUCUGUUAUUAGGGAAGAACAAAUGUGUAAGUAACUAUGCACGUCUUGACGGUACCUAAUCAGAAAGCCACGGCUAACUACG